This 684-nucleotide ribosomal RNA is filed under the name Triticum aestivum (bread wheat). RNAcentral's name for it is "partial small subunit ribosomal RNA". The record is from RNAcentral. Lineage: Eukaryota; Viridiplantae; Streptophyta; Magnoliopsida; Poales; Poaceae.
AUGCAUAAAGGGAAAUUUGAGACUCUCCAAGAGCGUUUGAGGAAAGCUCUUAUGGAUUGGAGUGAGCAGUACAUGUCGUCGGGGAACAAGGAGAUUCUUAUUAAAUCAGUGGCACAGGCCAUACCUGCAUAUGCUAUGAGUGUCUUCAAACUCCCGGCUUCGGUGUGUGAUGAUCUAACAAGAAUGAUACGCCAGUAUUGGUGGGGGGUAGAGAACGGGAAGAAGAAGAUGGCAUGGAUGAGUUGGGAUAAGCUGCAUUUGCCCAAACCCAUGGGAGGCAUGGGGCUUAGGGAUAUGAGGGCGCUUAACCAGGCGCUACUUCCUAAGCAGGCCUGGCGGCUCCUGGAUAGGCCGAAUAGCCUAUGUGCGCGGUUGCUGAAAGCAAAAUACUAUCCGUCUGGUCAGCUUUUGGAUACGGUGUUCCCAAGCUCCGGAUCUGAGGUAUGGAAGGGAAUCCUACAUGGCCUUGAGCUGGUCAAGAAAGGCGUCAUUUGGAGAGUUGGUAAUGGCUUGAAGAUUCGUACUUGGCGCGACCCUUGGUGUGACGCCCCAAGACCGGAGCUUCAGAUGCCUUCCAGCUAUUCUGAGUUUCGCCGUGUGUUUCUUUUGUGCUUGCUCUUUUAUUUUUUUGCAUCGCAUCAUGUCAUCUUGCCAUCAUGCCAUUUAUUUUUUAAACUCAACUAA